RNAcentral lists this ribosomal RNA (253 nucleotides) under uncultured bacterium. Its description in RNAcentral is "partial 16S ribosomal RNA". It matches the Rfam family "Bacterial small subunit ribosomal RNA", at positions 524 to 776 of the family's 1533-position model. The record is from RNAcentral.
UACAGAGGGUGCAAACGUUGCUCGGAAUCAUUGGGCGUAAAGCGCACGUAGGCGGUCCGAUAAGUCGGUAGUGAAAGCCCUCGGCUUAACCGAGGAAGUGCUAUCGAAACUGUCGGACUUGAAUACCGGAGAGGAUCGCGGAAUUCCCGGUGUAGAGGUGAAAUUCGUAGAUAUCGGGAGGAACACCAGUGGCGAAGGCGGCGAUCUGGACGGAUAUUGACGCUGAGGUGCGAAAGCGUGGGGAGCAAACAGG